RNAcentral lists this long non-coding RNA (1045 nucleotides) under Phasianus colchicus (ring-necked pheasant). RNAcentral describes it as "lncRNA (ENSPCLG00000005043.1)". Lineage: Eukaryota; Metazoa; Chordata; Aves; Galliformes; Phasianidae. The record is from RNAcentral.
CCACGUGUCGAUACAUCAAUGUGUGGCUGCAGGAAAUUGCUGAGUGCAAAAUAAUCUCCAUCAAGAUCUGCGUGUUUGUUGAUCAGUAGAUGCAUGAUAUAUGAUAGAUACACCAUCCUAUCCAGAUCAGGUCUCCAGGAUUUAAAUCUAUAUGAUGAAUUAAAAUUUUCUGUGAAAUUCUAGCUGGUUGCUCUGGUGAAUAUUGGAAAACAUGAAGCCUUUCAUCCCCAGAAUGGCUUUUAUUGGGGCAGACGAGUAAGUGCUUCACAGCCUUUUCCAUUAUGGAGGAGAACUUUUAAAGCACAAGUGUGGUUGAGAAGAAAUGAAAUUUCCUUUCCAGAUUGGCUUAAGGUGCUAAAAAAUGCUGUAAUUGUUGUUAGUGCCAUACAGACAAGGUGGGACAGCACAGAGAGUCAGAUGAAAUUUAAUGAUAAGUGAUAAUGUCAGCUCUGUUCAUAUUAACCAAGCAUGAGUUUGAGGUUAUGUUUCUCUUCCAAUUUAUCUGAAUUUCUCUGUUUUUAUUUUAUUUUAUUAUGUGUCCUCAGGGCAUGGACAAAACUUUACCUGAUUGUCUGGAGCCAGCACAGAAAGGCAUAACUUUGGGCUUCUUAAGAUCUACAGAUGGGAACCUCUUGGCAGCGUGUGCAGAAACGAUCAGGCCCACAAGGACAACACGGGAUGAAUCAAUCAUACAAGAUAGAUGAGGCCAUAGGGUGAUGCCUGGGUGAAAACCGCUUCCAGAUUUCACACCGGCUUCGCUUUUGUCCACCGGCUGAAAACACAGCUUUAUUGCAUGACCAUAAGUAAUGCAGGAAGGCACUCACCACUCCAUUUUGUGCAGCUUUUGUUUGUGAUAGUUUUAAUUUACUGCUGAAGUGAAUCCGAGACUGAUAAUUUUAUGAUUUUUUACCGAGAAAAGACAUUAAGCUACUUACUUUGGCUGUACUUCCUACUCUGCAGAAAUUAUUUAUCCAAGCACAGCAGCAAAGUGGGUCAGGGGAGGAAUAAUAAUAAUAAUAAUAAUAAAAAAAAAAGAAACCGCCCA